AUUGCUUCUCGGCCUUUUGGCUAAGAUCAAGUGUAGUAUCUGUUCUUGUCACUUUAAAAUUUUAUUUAAAUUUUUUAAAUUUAAUUUUUAAUUUUAAAGUUACUUAUUUAUUUUGAUGCUAGGUUAUGAGACUGGUUAAUUUUUAUAUUUUUGGUAGAAAUGGGGUUUUGCCAUGUUGCCCAGACUGGUCUCAAACUC
This is a small nuclear RNA of Pongo abelii (Sumatran orangutan), 198 nucleotides long. Its record names the gene U2. It matches the Rfam family "U2 spliceosomal RNA". Rfam says of the family: U2 is a small nuclear RNA (snRNA) component of the spliceosome (involved in pre-mRNA splicing). Complementary binding between U2 snRNA (in an area lying towards the 5' end but 3' to hairpin I) and the branchpoint sequence (BPS) of the intron results the bulging out of an unpaired adenosine, on the BPS, which initiates a nucleophilic attack at the intronic 5' splice site, thus starting the first of two transesterification reactions that mediate splicing. The record is from Ensembl. NCBI's taxonomy places the organism in Eukaryota, Metazoa, Chordata, Mammalia, Primates, Hominidae.